This 391-nucleotide ribosomal RNA is filed under the name uncultured bacterium. RNAcentral's name for it is "bacterial SSU rRNA". It matches the Rfam family "Bacterial small subunit ribosomal RNA", at positions 29 to 408 of the family's 1533-position model. The record is from RNAcentral.
AACGAACGCUGGCGGCGCGCCUAAUACAUGCAAGUCGAGCGAGAAGACGUAGCAAUACGUUUGUAAAGCGGCGAACGGGUGAGGAAUGCAUGGGUAACCUACCCUCGAGUGGGGAAUAACUAGCCGAAAGGUUAGCUAAUACCGCGUACGCUCCUUGGACUUCGGUUCAGGGAGGAAAGCGAUACCGUGGGUAUCGCGCUCUUGGAUGGGCUCAUGUCCUAUCAGCUUGNGGUGAGGUAACGGCUCACCAAGGCUUCGACGGGUAGCUGGUCUGAGAGGACGAUCAGCCACACUGGCACUGCGACACGGGCCAGACUCCGUACGGGAGGCAGCAGUAAGGAAUAUUGCGCAAGUGGGACGAAAGCCUGACGCAGCGACGCCGCGGUGGGGG